This 223-nucleotide ribosomal RNA is filed under the name uncultured bacterium. Its description in RNAcentral is "partial 16S ribosomal RNA". It matches the Rfam family "Bacterial small subunit ribosomal RNA", at positions 29 to 237 of the family's 1533-position model. The record is from RNAcentral.
AGUGAACGCUGGCGGCAGGCCUAACACAUGCAAGUCGAGCGGCAGCGGGUUCCCGCGAGGGGAUGCCGGCGAGCGGCGGACGGGUGAGGAACACAUCGGAAUCUGCCUGGUUGUGGGGGAUAACGUAGGGAACUUACGCUAAUACCGCAUGAGACCCUGAGUCGACGGACUGGGGUGAAAGUGAGGGACCUUCGGCCGUCACGCGACCAGAUGAGCCGAUGUC